This is a long non-coding RNA of Bubalus bubalis (water buffalo), 4004 nucleotides long. RefSeq lists it as uncharacterized. The record is from RefSeq and is a predicted model, not a curated record. The transcript has 4 exons. Lineage: Eukaryota; Metazoa; Chordata; Mammalia; Artiodactyla; Bovidae.
CGAGCUGGGAGAGGCCCUCGCCGGGGCAGAGACGACUCACCAGUGACAAGUGAACCCAAAUCCCGGACAUGGCUGUGGAACAAUCUCCGAAGUGAAGGAGCCUUACAACUGGCACCAGGGCGAGUUAGGCACCCGGUUGGAGAGUAUAAGCAUGGCCUGCAGCCCCUCAUCUUGGCUUCUCCACAAAGGAAGGUACCUUGAUCAAGUUCCUGAGUAUAGUCCACUAUCAGCAUAUUUUGCAAGGAGUGCCUGCUUCUUGAAGGAUUAGAGGCACUCACUCAUCAUCACUGGUUAGAUAGCAUUACCAACUCAAUGGACAUGAAUUUGAGCAAACUCCAAGAGACAGUGAAGGCCAGGGAAGCCUACUGUGCAGUCCAUGGGAUCUCAAAGAGCCAGACACAACAUAGAAACUGAACAACGAUGACAAGUCAUCAUCAAGGCCCAGGUGGAGUUGGUCCUUUGCCAACAUCCACAUGAGAGACAUUUACUGAGCACCUGCUAUGCCCAUGUCUUUUAAAAGACACCGGAGAUACUGUGGUGAACACUCAGGUCCCUACCCAGUCUAAUGAGAAAGGUGGGUAUCACAAAGUAAUCACACACUAUUACAAAGACCAAUAAGUACUAUUAGAAAACAGUUGAGUGCUCUUAAAGAACAUAAUAUCUAGUUGGGAGGGAGUGUGGUGGUCAGGGAAGGCUUCCAAGAAGCUGACCAUCUGAGAGAUCUGAAAAAUCUGAGUGGAAAUAAGGCAGCCAUAAAAGGAUGACGAGAGAUGAAGCUGAAGGCUCAGAAAGUCUCCUUUGCGUGACAGAAAAUCUGUUAUUCUGGGUGGGUUGUGUCCUUUCCGAUAGAGAUAUCAAAGGCAUAUCAAGGCAGAGCGGCAGCUCAGGUCACAGCAUAGGCUUGGGCACAGUUGAUGCCCCAAAUACCCCAGAAUGUGGAAAUGUUUGUAUCUUACAAAGCAGUUUUUUUUUUUUUUUAAAGAUGGAAUAUUGACACUAAAGAAAGUUUUUUGGGAGAUGAGAGAAGUGGCAAAGCAAACAGUGUAUUGGAAAAUCCAUUUUAAUUUUAUGGAGACAAUGUGUUCCAACUUCCCCUACUCCCAUCACUUAAGGUUAUACUUACUGGUUCAAUAAUCAAGAUCCUUGUAUAAAAUUGUCUUGAGUACCAUUCAAUGUGAGGGGAAAAAACCCCAAUGCAACACAGAUAAUAAUGUUCCAAACCCCUAAAUCUUUCUGUUUUCUGGGAUGUUUCUUCUUAUUCAGAAGAAUCUUCUACCCAGACACAUUUUCCAUCUGUAUGUCAUCUGGGGAAAAAAAGCUUUUUUAAUGUGGUGUUUUACCCCCAAAUGUCAGACCUAUAUAAAGUUCUGACAGGCAGAAACUUUUCCUUCUUUAAGCCUGAGAAAUCUUCCAUCCACGUCCACUUUUCAAGAGGAAGACUUUAAAAGGGGUGAGUGAGGUGUAGGGAUCUGUAGAAUUUCCACAACACAUACACAGUCUGUUACUAGAAAAGAGGACAGAAAUUCCUAAAUCAACAGUUGCCUGAAACAUUUUUAGCAGAGCCUCAUUCCAAGCCAGCCAGUGAGACAGAAUUAAGCAGGAAAAGACUUUCUGUGACUCAGAAGCUGCCUUCCCUUAUAAAGUCAAGGUUCUCCCCAGUGGUAUUUUGACUACUUUUGGAGGAGGGGUUGCUUGCAUCCAGCUCUCUGAAGAAGCCAGAAUUUUCUGUUCCUCUCUACCAAAAAAGUACUCUGUCGACAAAUAUGUGUGCAAGACACAAACCCUGUUCACAUUCUUUCAGGUCAGUGGAGUGCCCGUGUUACCAGCAUCUACAGCUGGUUUUUGGAUAAAGUCCUCGUUGUCAUGGGUUCAAUAAAACAAACAUGUUUUGCUGUUCUAUGAUGAAUUUUAAACCCAAGGUGACCAAAGACCCUGCCUGAAGACUCCCUGCGUUCCUGUGCCUGUCAGGAUGAUUAUAUAUGUAACCAUCUCUACUACAUGUAAGAAAAUUGCUGCACAGUAAGGAAGUUUAUUAAUGCAUAGGUGUGAUCACAUGGGAACAUAAUUAAAUAUUGUGAUUAGUCAGACAUGCUGGAUGAAUGAGAGUUGCUAAAUCUAACAGAUCUGAGUUAGAAGUUUGCAAAGACUUACAUACAGAUUUAAUAUACAACAUAUAAAUUGUACAUAAAUAAUUAUAUAUACAACCCCACUGAAUUGAAUACUUUACUUCCAAAGGAAUGCUAGAAUCAUGCCACACUUGCAAGUCACAACUGGAAAAUCUCAAUUAUUGUUAUAAGCUACAGCAAAAAAGCAAUCGUUAUAUGCAUGAUAUAGCUUAAAUUCUGGAGGAAAUGUAAGCUUGCAGGAUGAUAAUAAUACCAGAAAAAUCUUGAGAUUAAUUUAAAAAACUCAAAUUUAUAUUUAUUCCUAUGAGAGAUCCAAUAUAGGGGUUUGAGGGAAGACUUAUCAACCAUCAUCCUAUUUUUUAAUUUAGUGAUGAAUAAAAUGUGUUAAGGGUAUAAUCUUUAAAAAUUGUGAAUCACUGUGUUGUACACCUGUAACUUAUAUAUCAUUGUACAUCAACUAUACUUCAAUAAGAGAAAAAGGAUAAAUGCAUAGGGCAAUCAGAUAUAUUACCAGAAAAAGAGAAUAAACUGGGUUCAGAGAUGUGAAGCCUCAUGGCUUCUGGACUAGCUGAAGUAAUUCACAGAGCUUCAUCCUGCUUGUCUUACUGGCCUUAACACGACACUGCCCAUGGCAAGAAAGUUAUGAAACCAUUUGUUCCACGUUAUAUAUUAAUCUUUCAUCUUAGAAAGUUUAAGAAGCAAGGGUUCUUAGGCUUCUUUUUGUUUGUGUUUGAAGGGUGUGUUUGCAGUUUGGUUUCAGGCAACGUAGCUUGUAAUCAAAUGCAUGUUAGAAUGGAAGACUGCUGAGGAACAUUCUAUUGAAAGUCACCAGAAUUCAUUAUUCCACUGUGUUCUCCCGUCAGUCCUUAUAAUAUUACAAUAUUCCUAUUUUACAAACGAGAAAACUGAGAUGCUCAGAUGUUAGAUGAUUUGCCCAAUGAGUCAAAUUAGAUUGUUGGGAAAAAAACCAGCCUUUGAAUCCAACUUGAUUCCAAAGCCCAUAUGUUUUCUCCUACUUUGUGAAACUUUUCAUCACAGUGCGAAUCUCAGCCUGAUCCAGCUAUGUCAAAUUCCAAUCAGGUUUUAAAGAAGCGGGAGUUCAUCAGCCUGAAAUUACCCUAUAGGGUCUCAAUUUUGUUGGAAAAGGAAAUGAAUGCUUCAGAUUCCAAACUGAAGAUUUUAGAAUUCUUGAAGCAUCCAAAGUUAUCUCGUGGGGUCCUUCCUGUUCACUUUCUUUUCUGGGGGCUAAAAAGUAUGUCUGAUGCUAAAAUGAGAGUGUUUGUGUAAACUCUCAGCCGAUCUUGGCACUCAGCCUGUGCUGCCUCGGCUUGGAUCAGGCCACUUUGCUUUCUAUGGGAUCUUCCCACUUAAACCUCAGGACCAUCUAAUGGCACCCUACAUUCCCAGGGCUUCCCACAACACUCCGGACAACAGCAUUGAAGUAUCUCCUGCUAUUCAGUUGAGUUAAUCCUCGUUUUGGUGACGACUCAUAAUAUGCUCCCUUGAUUGGCAUUUUAAAGUUUUCAAAGUACUCUAGCAAUUUAAGUCUUUCUAUAAAAUUUAUCAGCUCAGGAACCUUGUGCCGUGAUUGAGCCGGUGUCAUGGUCAUUUUGCAAAUGAGAAAACUGAGGUGAAGGUCACACCCCCAGCCAGGGAAUAAUAAAGUGCCAGUUCUUGGGGCAAAAUUUGAGCCGCUGUAUUUUUCAUACCUUACCUUCUAUGAAAACUAUCAACAUUAUCAGCCUGUUACCUCAUAGAUGGUGUUGUAGAAGACUUUUUAGAGUCCCCUGGACAGCAAGGGGACAGCAAGAUCCAAGCAGUCCAUCCUAAAAGAAAUCAUUCCUGAAUAUUCAUUGGAAGGACUGAUCCUGAAGCUGA